Molecule: ribosomal RNA, 250 nt
Filed under: uncultured bacterium
Lineage: Bacteria
Description: partial 16S ribosomal RNA
Rfam family: Archaeal small subunit ribosomal RNA
Source: RNAcentral
UACCAGCACCCCGAGUGGUCGGGACGAUUAUUGGGCCUAAAGCAUCCGUAGCCGGUUUUACAAGUCCCCCGUUAAAUCCAGCUGCUUAACAGAUGGGCUGCGGAGGAUACUAUAAGACUAGGAGGCAGGAGAGGCAAGCGGUACUCAGUGGGUAGGGGUAAAAUCCGUUGAUCCAUUGAAGACCACCAGUGGCGAAGGCGGCUUGCCAGAAUGCGCUCGACGUGAGGGAUGAAAGCUGGGGAGCAACCGG